Molecule: ribosomal RNA, 922 nt
Filed under: uncultured gamma proteobacterium M90-D9
Lineage: Bacteria; Pseudomonadati; Pseudomonadota; Gammaproteobacteria
Description: bacterial SSU rRNA
Rfam family: Bacterial small subunit ribosomal RNA
Source: RNAcentral
CUUCGGGAGCUGAAGAGUGGCGGACGGGUGAGUAACGCGUAGGAAUCUGCCUCAUAGUGGGGGACAACUUGGGGAAACUCAAGCUAAUACCGCAUACGCCCUACGGGGGAAAGCGGGGGACCUUCGGGCCUCGCGCUAUGAGAUGAGCCUGCGUUAGAUUAGCUAGUUGGUGGGGUAAAGGCCUACCAAGGCGACGAUCUAUAGCUGGUCUGAGAGGACGAUCAGCCACACUGGGACUGAGACACGGCCCAGACUCCUACGGGAGGCAGCAGUGGGGAAUAUUGGACAAUGGGCGCAAGCCUGAUCCAGCAAUACCGCGUGUGUGAAGAAGGCCUUCGGGUUGUAAAGCACUUUCAAUUGGGAGGAAAACCUACCGGUCAAUACCCGGUAACUUGACAUUACCUUUAGAAGAAGCACCGGCUAACUCCGUGCCAGCAGCCGCGGUAAUACNGAAGGUGCAAGCGUUAAUCGGAAUUACUGGGCGUAAAGCGUGCGUAGGCGGUUCGUUAAGUCAGAUGUGAAAGCCCCGGGCUCAACCUGGGAACUGCAUUUGAAACUGGCGGACUAGAGUUUAGUAGAGGGGAGUGGAAUUUCAGGUGUAGCGGUGAAAUGCGUANAUAUCUGAAGGAACACCAGUGGCGAAGGCGACUCCCUGGACUAAAACUGACGCUGAGGUACGAAAGCGUGGGUAGCAAACAGGAUUAGAUACCCUGGUAGUCCACGCCGUAAACGAUGUCGACUAACCGUUGGUCCUUUAUACAGGAUUAGUGGCGCAGCUAACGCAUUAAGUCGACCGCCUGGGGAGUACGGCCGCAAGGUUAAAACUCAAAUGAAUUGACGGGGGCCCGCACAAGCGGUGGAGCAUGUGGUUUAAUUCGAUGCAACGCGAAGAACCUUACCUACCCUUGACAUCCAUAGAAUC